This 253-nucleotide ribosomal RNA is filed under the name uncultured bacterium. Its description in RNAcentral is "partial 16S ribosomal RNA". It matches the Rfam family "Archaeal small subunit ribosomal RNA", at positions 474 to 727 of the family's 1478-position model. The record is from RNAcentral.
UACCAGCACCCCGAGUUGUCGGGACGAUUAUUGGGCCUAAAGCAUCCGUAGCCUGUUCUACAAGUCUUCCGUUAAAUCCACCUGCUUAACAGAUGGGCUGCGGAGGAUACUAUGGAGCUAGGAGGCGGGAGAGGCAAGCGGUACUUAGUGGGUAGGGGUAAAAUCCGUUGAUCCAUUGAAGACCACCAGUGGCGAAGGCGGCUUGCCAGAACGCACUCGACGGUGAGGGAUGAAAGCUGGGGGAGCAAACCGG